AACAAUAGGCACAUGUAAAAUGUGCACAUGAUCCAGUACCAAAAGCACUUCCCUAGAUCGGCGGUGUAUCCGAUCAUGCUCUCACAACUCACACUUACCGAGGCGUAGAGGAAAAAUGAUCCAUACACUACCAUUCAAAUGAAUGGCACUCAUACUAUUGCACACCGUAUGAGCAACGAAAUAGAAAUAUGAUGCAGAAACCCCCAAGUCAGUACUUAGAUAAGCCACCUAAAGGUCCUUAAUUGGGCAUAAAGGAAAUGACCACUGGCAUACUUAGAUAAAAACUUUUUAGAUCUGAACACACCUUUAUCUAUAAUAGCUAUAAGUUGUCAAAAACUGAUUUUAUAAAACAAAUUUCUUUGUUUUAAAUACACAUAUGACAAGUUUAAUGUUGAACCUUGCUUUGAUACCAGCUGUAACAGAACCGCCCAAUUUACAAGAGAUCAACUAUGAAAAACUCCCGCCAAAGCAGUUGCUUUAACAUAAUCGAACUCUCAUAAACCCGAUAGUCCGUGAAAUCACGAGGGAUUUUAAACCAACCAUCAUACAAGCCAAGAUCGUAGUGGUUCAACAUAACAAGCCAUAUGUUACAUCCAUUUCGCAAGUAGUUUGACAAACUCCAGAGUUCAAUGUAGUUAUUACAACUUGAGAUGAAAAGUAGCGGAAGCAAAGUAAUUUGAAACUAAUAUUGCCCUUAUUUCAAAUACAUGCCAG
This 714-nucleotide long non-coding RNA is filed under the name Sorghum bicolor (sorghum). RNAcentral's name for it is "long non-coding RNA (SBIC_LNC002946)". The record is from RNAcentral. Lineage: Eukaryota; Viridiplantae; Streptophyta; Magnoliopsida; Poales; Poaceae.